This 253-nucleotide ribosomal RNA is filed under the name uncultured bacterium. RNAcentral's name for it is "partial 16S ribosomal RNA". It matches the Rfam family "Bacterial small subunit ribosomal RNA", at positions 524 to 776 of the family's 1533-position model. The record is from RNAcentral.
UACGAGAGGCCCAACCGUUAUUCGGAAUUACUGGGCUUAAAGAGUUCGUAGGCGGCAUUACAAGUAGGGUGUGAAAGCCCUCGGCUCAACCGAGGAAUUGCGCUCUAAACUGUCGUGCUAGAGGAACCUAGAGGUGAGCAGAACAGAUGGUGGAGCGGUGAAAUGCGUUGAUAUCAUCUGGAAUACCGGAGGCGAAGGCGGCUCACUGGGGGUUUUCUGACGCUGAGGAACGAAAGCCAGGGUAGCGAACGGG